UUUUUUCCGCGCUGGCUGAGAUUCAAAGAGAAGUGGAGGUGGGAGGGAGCGACAAUGGAAAAAUCACCUGAAAACUGGGACAGAGGAAGGAAGCUACAGUUACGAAGGAGAGCUGCAAAAGUUGCAGCAGAAAGGUUGGGAGUCCCGACAGGUUCCGUAGCCCACAGAAAAGAAGCAAGGGACGGCAGGACUGUUUCACACUUUUCUGCUUCUGGAAGGUGCUGGACAAAAACAUGGAACUAAUUUCCCCAACAGUGAUUAUAAUCCUGGGUUGCCUUGCUCUGUUCUUACUCCUUCAGCGGAAGAAUUUGCGUAGACCCCCGUGCAUCAAGGGCUGGAUUCCUUGGAUUGGAGUUGGAUUUGAGUUUGGGAAAGCCCCUCUAGAAUUUAUAGAGAAAGCAAGAAUCAAGUCAUUUUCAGAUCAGCUUGAGAGGAC
Molecule: long non-coding RNA, 436 nt
Filed under: Homo sapiens (human)
Lineage: Eukaryota; Metazoa; Chordata; Mammalia; Primates; Hominidae
Description: HSALNT0106757
Source: RNAcentral